AUGGGAAACCCUGUUGAUGCACCUAAACCCUAUCAAUGGAUAUGGAAAUCACGCUCUUUACCAAAGCAGAAAUUCUUCUUCUGGCUCUUGUUACAAGACAGAUUAAACACUAGAGAUCUACUAAAAAGGAAGAAUUUCUACAUUGAGACUAGUAAGUGUGAAUUAUGUGAUGAUGAACCUAAUGAACAUUUAAUGCAUCUGUUUUUUAGCUGUGAUUUCAGUCAAAACUUCUGGAUGAACAUUGGCUACCAAUGUUACACUGAUCAUAACCUCAUAGAAAUGCUCCUGGAGGGAAGGAAGCAAGAUACACAUGGAUGCUUUAAAGAAUGUCUGAUUGCUGGAUGCUGGAGUCUAUGGAAACACAGAAAUAGCAUAAUUUUUGACAACAAGGUCAAAAAUAUGACAUUCUGUAUUGCCACUUUCAAGGAGCACUUUUGCAUGAUUAUAAAGAAGGCAAAACCAGGAUUGAAAGAGGGCAUGCAAAGCUGGCUAGAUCAUUUGUAG
This 504-nucleotide ribosomal RNA is filed under the name Triticum aestivum (bread wheat). RNAcentral's name for it is "partial small subunit ribosomal RNA". Lineage: Eukaryota; Viridiplantae; Streptophyta; Magnoliopsida; Poales; Poaceae. The record is from RNAcentral.